GCUUUGGACAGCGGGGCCGCACUGCAACAACCCCACUGGUGGAUCCCUUCCGGCUUCCACCUGGAAGCCUCCCUGGUGCUGAGAGGGUAACGGGGUUUGGGGGGUGAGCUCCUCCUGCCAUGAGGCCAUGGUGACUGCCACCGACGGGGGAGCGCAAGGUGGCUGCUCCCGGCCCCUGCUCGGCCGCCUCUUGGCCGCGGAAAGGGGAGUUCCAGGUUGCAGAUGGCGGCUUCUCCCCGUAGAACCUGCCCGCACCCCCCAAUCCGAGAUAACCCAGGCCGCCCCGGGGCAGCCGACAAGCUCAAGGCCUGCAGCCGAGGUCUGGGAAGUGACUCCAGCCACACUCUGCGCUACACACUCCGCAGUCCCCCUCCUCGUGGAGGCUUCCUGCGGCUGUGGCUUUCCUUAUGUCCAUUUUACAGAUGCGGAAACUGAGGCCUGGAGGGGUCAGGCGGCCUGCCUGCUGUCACUCAGCGAGGCUGGACUAUAGGGCCUGUGCUCCCGUCUCAGAACAGCUCAAGGUGCCCUCCUUUGAAGCCGUGGCGCUCGAGAGCAAAGCCGCUCGCAGCAGACAGAGCUCAGAACUUUUGAAAACAAAAACCAGCACCCACUGAGUGCCUCCCUGAUCCUUUUUAGGGCUCUGGGACCACCAGGUAUCAGGGAUGGACAGGGACCCUUGGGGUGGCGAUCAAACCAGUGUCUAUGAACUCCAGGCCUAAACCCAGCUCCACCACCUCCCAGCCGCAUGACGGUGGAUGCGUCCUGCAUCCCCGGGCUGGGUCUCCUCCUCCAGAGACUUGGGUCACCAUCUCGGCCCCUCUUGGGGCUGGUGUGAGGACUGCCCAGCACCCUGUUUGCCCAGUGGCCAACUGGGUCCCACAGCGAAGGCCUGAGGCACCAGCACCUGACUGGGACCCCCGAAGGCACCAGCGCCUGACUGGGACCCGCGAAGGCACCAGCGCCUGACCGAGACCCCCGAAGGCACCAGCGCCUGACCGAGAGCCCCGAAGGCACCAGCGCCUGUCUGACCCCCGACAGGUGUGUCCUGGGCCUGCUCCCCACCUGGUGUCCCUGAGGAGAAGGGACGCAGCCAGCAAGUUUCUACCAUGGCGCCUGGAACCCCCACCAUCUGUGGGUCCCAGGUGGGCAAGUCACAUCAUCUGCUGUGCUGGAUGCCCGGUCCCCCUUCCUGGGGGACAGCAGGGGGAGCCCGUGAGGACCGGUGGCCAUGAGGCCCCAGCAUUGCCUUGGGCAGCCCCACAGCCCAUGCAGGUGUAACUCAGCUUCCCCAUGGGGCCGGGUCAUCCUCCUGGCUGCGGCUGCCCAGGCCCACCCCUCUCUCUGUGGCCCCGGCUGCCCUGUUGUGGGAAGGGGCAGCGUUAAACAAGCGGCUGCCUACUUGCACCGGCGGGCACAUGGACCCAUCGUGCACUCUCCCCUUGCUGCUGGGACCUCGCUGACCCCUUUCCAUCUUGGCCCCUGGGAAGGAAUGUGGUCCCUCUGCCUCAGCGAAGCCUUUCCCGCUCCCCAGCACGGCGAGCGCCUCACCAUGCAUCUUCUCUCCACAGACGGGGCCCUGCUGGUGUCAUUACGGCCGCUUGCGCGCUCUGCAUCGGCCAUCUGCUCCCGGCUAUAUGCCUGGCACACAGCAGGCACUCAAUAAAUGCUUGCUGCCGGGCGUGGUGGCUCACGCCUGUAAUCCCAGCACUUUGGGAGGCCGAGGCGGGCGGAUCACGAGGUCAGGAGAUCGAGACCAUCCUGGCUAACACGGUGAAACCCCGUCUCUCCUCAAAAUAGAAAAAUUAGCCGGGCAUGGUGGCAGGCACCUGUAGUCCCAGCUACUCGGGAGGCUGA
This 1854-nucleotide long non-coding RNA is filed under the name Homo sapiens (human). Its description in RNAcentral is "non-protein coding lnc-CYBA-3:4". Lineage: Eukaryota; Metazoa; Chordata; Mammalia; Primates; Hominidae. The record is from RNAcentral.